GUUAGGAAUAUUGGACAAUGGGCGAAAGCCUGAUCCAGCCAUGCCGCGUGAACGAUGAAGGCCUUCGGGUUGUAAAGUUCUUUAGCCGAUGAUUAUAAUGACUGUAGUCGGAAAAUAAGCCCCGGCUAACUUCGUGCCAGCAGCCGCGGUAAUACGAAGGGGGCGAGCGUUAUUCGGAAUCACUGGGCGUAAAGCGUGCGUAGGCGGUUUUGUAAGUUAGGAGUGAAAGCCCAGGGCUCAACCUUGGAAUUGCUCUUAAAACUGCAAGGCUCGAAUCUCGGAGAGGAUAGCGGAAUUUCCAGUGUAGCAGUGAAAUGCGUAGAUAUUGGAAGGAACACCAGUGGCGUAAGCGGCUAUCUGGACGAGUAUUGACGCUGAGGCACGAAAGCGUGGGGAUCAAACAGGAUUAGAUACCCGGGUAGUCC
This 425-nucleotide ribosomal RNA is filed under the name uncultured bacterium. Its description in RNAcentral is "bacterial SSU rRNA". It matches the Rfam family "Bacterial small subunit ribosomal RNA", at positions 354 to 796 of the family's 1533-position model. The record is from RNAcentral.